This 173-nucleotide unclassified non-coding RNA is filed under the name uncultured fungus. RNAcentral describes it as "sequence contains ITS1". The record is from RNAcentral. Lineage: Eukaryota; Fungi.
CCGAGUACUGGGGCCUCAGCCCCUGCUCCCACACUUUGUGAACCUUUACCCACCGUUGCUUUGGCGGGACGGUGGCAUCGCCGCCGCCGGCCUCUGGCUGGAGAGCGCCCGCCGGGGGACCUUUAAACUCUGCUCUCAACUGUAAGGAGUCUGAGUGUUGGAUAAUUGAAUCA